GCACAGCUUGGAAAUCCUUUCUUACCGCAAACGAGGUACUUCCCGGAGUGUCUGGUCCCCAAAUUUAUUUUCCUGUCAAGCAAUCACAUUUUCCUCGUGGCGCUUGAGUUGUUAAUACCCACUGUCUGCCCAGCUUUCUCCAAACGAAGGCCUUCGGCUCGUUCAGGUUGGUAUGUAAAGCUUUAGCGCUUGACUGAGAAUUAAUCUAAGACAGUGGCAUUGUGUCAUUUACUGGAACUAAAGCUUUUUUUUAAACCUUUAUCUGACUGUGAAAGGCACUCUGAAAUCUCCAGGGCUGAGGACAGCUAGAAGUGAGAAAUGAACACCCCAAAGCCAAGAGCUCAGAGCAGGAUCUCAGAAAACUUUGGCUAUAGCCAAAGCGAGCUGCAGACUGGGAUGCUUCACUUAUUUACUUGAAUGUCUGGACAUUCAAGUGCAUCCAUGGAUGGCUUUAACAGAACAGCUGUAUUGGAAAUUUGGAAAUUGUUUCUUCAUUUUCAUGUUUUUCCUUUAAGGUUUUUUUUUUGUCUAUUUUUAUUCAGUAUUCAGUGCUCGCCAGCUGCCUUUGACUCCACAAGAGAAGCUCAAUGAACACUGUUUUCCACUCGCAUCGUCUCUCCUUGCUAAAUGCUGUUGCCGUUCCCAUACUUUCAUGGCCGUGUAGCUGGUACUCUACACGCGGUGCCACUCACGGCUCUACUGUUAGACUUUUGGCAAGAGCAGGUUAGGUUUUAUAGGAGUGAGAAGGCAAGAGUGAGAGAGAGACUCUGAACCAAAGACAGUAUAAAAGGCCUUUUUUUUUGGAGUAGAAGCCCAACAAAAUGAUUAAGUAGCUCAAAGGGAAUAGAAAACUCUAGGCAAGAUGCUGAGCUGGGAGACAUCCCACUCCAGUGGUUAUUUGGCGCUUGUUGUAGCCCAGCUGUAUUCAGGAGCUCACCUCUUUCCUCCCACCCCUGAGUAAUGCACUUUUUCACUUCACUUUAGUUGUUUUCCUGUGCUGUCCAGUUUGGUGACUCUCUUUCAGAUGGGCUGGAUUCACUGUUACCCUUAAAUCCAGAUCAGCUGUCUGCCGAGUAACCAUAGCCCUCCUGCAGCCAGGAUUUACGGGCUCAAGGCAGGGACUGCUUGGUUAGAGCCUUCUGCAAUGCAGAAGUCUGGGGCAGAAAAUAACUCUCUAGUUCUUCAGCCUGGGAAGCAAAGGAAAGGAAUCAAAAAGUCACAUCCUGUGGUUUAGAGCUCGGGAAUAUAAGAAAAAAAUCACCCCUGAAAACGAAUCGCCUAAUCCCUGCGAUGUGGAUGUAUCCCACCUAAUAGUAGGUGGCGAACAGCUCGGGUCGGGCGGCCGGUGCCUGCGGCUCCUGCAGGCGUAUGGGAGCAGAGGGCUCCUGCGGCGGCCAAAUUGCCUCCCUCCUUCCCACCACCUCGUGGGGGCAACCUGGCUCCCAGCGUUGGCAUCUCAGUCCUGGCGUCGGGGUUGCCAAGGGAGGGGCUAGGCUCCAGGGAGCAGAAAUUUGCUUUCUAAACUAAAAAAGGACUUAGAAAGUUGAACCGUGAACGUCAAUUUUACCCAAAUCCUAUUCAAUUGGAGCUGCUGGAGCUUUAUGGCAUGCGAGUUCCUGAAGGCAACAGGGAGAGGUGAAGAGCUGUGAAAUUCUGAGAAGCUGGGAUUUGACUCCAAACUUUAUCGCAGGCCUCUGCGUCUGCAGCCGCCAGACCAGCGGCUUCUUGAUGUGAAAUCCCAAACUCGGAACGCGUCCGCCUCGCAGUGCUGAUGGCCGGUUGCGCUGCCAGGAACAGGCUCACUUUGUGCGAGUGCAGAAACAGCAGACGGCGGACGGGGGGCAAUGGAAAACAAGCUGGAGCAGUUUUGCACGUUCAUGAAAGUACAGUGAACAAGAAGGUCCAUCAGUCCCACCGUGGGGUUUGCAGCUGAGCACGGCGGCGUAAUCAUCACCUUCUGCAUCUGCACCCUGCCUCUGCCACAGACAACUGGCUGAUGCAGUUGCUUUCCCGGGAGGUUUCCAUGCUACGUAUGAGAAUGGAAAGUAGUUACAACAGCAAUGUUCAGUCUCAUCAAGAGGCCCAGGAGAAGCCCAACCUGCCUGGAGGCAGCGGAGCAGCCGGCGAUGGCACCGAGAGCGGCGUGAUGAGCUCCACCUGCUCCUGGCUGCCACCGCGGGCGCCCGGAGCA
Non-coding RNA from Struthio camelus australis, 2191 nucleotides. Lineage: Eukaryota; Metazoa; Chordata; Aves; Struthioniformes; Struthionidae. The record is from RefSeq and is a predicted model, not a curated record.